UACGUAGGGUGCGAGCGUUAAUCGGAAUUACUGGGCGUAAAGCGUGCGCAGGCGGUUGGUUAAGUCUGAUGUGAAAGCCCCGGGCUCAACCUGGGAAUGGCAUUGGAAACUGGUCAGCUGGAGUGUGGCAGAGGGGGGUGGAAUUCCGCGUGUAGCAGUGAAAUGCGUAGAGAUGCGGAGGAACACCGAUGGCGAAGGCAGCCCCCUGGGCUAACACUGACGCUCAGGCACGAAAGCGUGGGGAGCAAACAGGAUUAGAUACCCUGGUAGUCCACGCCCUAAACGAUGGCAACUGGGUGUUGGGGAAGCGAUUCCUUGGUACCGCAGCUAACGCGUGAAGUUGCCCGCCUGGGGAGUACGGCCGCAAGGUUAAA
RNAcentral lists this ribosomal RNA (374 nucleotides) under uncultured bacterium. RNAcentral's name for it is "bacterial SSU rRNA". It matches the Rfam family "Bacterial small subunit ribosomal RNA", at positions 524 to 898 of the family's 1533-position model. The record is from RNAcentral.